RNAcentral lists this ribosomal RNA (253 nucleotides) under uncultured Candidatus Xiphinematobacter sp. RNAcentral describes it as "partial 16S ribosomal RNA". It matches the Rfam family "Bacterial small subunit ribosomal RNA", at positions 524 to 776 of the family's 1533-position model. Lineage: Bacteria; Pseudomonadati; Verrucomicrobiota; Spartobacteria. The record is from RNAcentral.
UACAGAGGUCUCAAGCGUUGUUCGGAUUCAUUGGGCGUAAAGGGUGCGUAGGCGGCUCGGUUAGUCAGAUGUGAAAUCUUGUGGCUUAACCACAAAACUGCAUUUGAUACUGCCGGGCUUGAGGAUUCAAGAGGGGGCUGGAAUUCACGGUGUAGCAGUGAAAUGCGUAGAUAUCGUGAGGAAGACCAACGGCGAAAGCAAGCCCCUGGGGAAUUACUGACGCUGAGGCACGAAGGCUAGGGGAGCAAACGGG